This 567-nucleotide ribosomal RNA is filed under the name Salmonella enterica. RNAcentral's name for it is "partial 23S ribosomal RNA". It matches the Rfam family "Bacterial large subunit ribosomal RNA", at positions 2198 to 2764 of the family's 2925-position model. The record is from RNAcentral. Lineage: Bacteria; Pseudomonadati; Pseudomonadota; Gammaproteobacteria; Enterobacterales; Enterobacteriaceae.
UACCACCCUUUAAUGUUUGAUGUUCUAACGUGGACCCGUAAUCCGGGUUGCGGACAGUGUCUGGUGGGUAGUUUGACUGGGGCGGUCUCCUCCUAAAGAGUAACGGAGGAGCACGAAGGUUGGCUAAUCCUGGUCGGACAUCAGGAGGUUAGUGCAAUGGCAUAAGCCAGCUUGACUGCGAGCGUGACGGCGCGAGCAGGUGCGAAAGCAGGUCAUAGUGAUCCGGUGGUUCUGAAUGGAAGGGCCAUCGCUCAACGGAUAAAAGGUACUCCGGGGAUAACAGGCUGAUACCGCCCAAGAGUUCAUAUCGACGGCGGUGUUUGGCACCUCGAUGUCGGCUCAUCACAUCCUGGGGCUGAAGUAGGUCCCAAGGGUAUGGCUGUUCGCCAUUUAAAGUGGUACGCGAGCUGGGUUUAGAACGUCGUGAGACAGUUCGGUCCCUAUCUGCCGUGGGCGCUGGAGAACUGAGGGGGGCUGCUCCUAGUACGAGAGGACCGGAGUGGACGCAUCACUGGUGUUCGGGUUGUCAUGCCAAUGGCACUGCCCGGUAGCUAAAUGCGGAAGAGA